AGAGUUUGAUCAUGGCUCAGAUUGAACGCUGGCGGCAUGCCUUACACAUGCAAGUCGAACGGAUUCAAGAGGCUUGCUUCUUGAGUUAGUGGCGAACGGGUGAGUAAUACAUCGGAACGUACCCAGUUGUGGGGGAUAACGUAGCGAAAGUUACGCUAAUACCGCAUACGCACUGAGGUGGAAAGCGGGGGACCUUCGGGCCUCGCGCAAUUGGAGCGGCCGAUGUCGGAUUAGCUAGUUGGUAGGGUAAAAGCCUACCAAGGCGACGAUCCGUAGCUGGUCUGAGAGGACGACCAGCCACACUGGAACUGAGACACGGUCCAGACUCCUACGGGAGGCAGCAGUGGGGAAUUUUGGACAAUGGGCGAAAGCCUGAUCCAGCCAUGCCGCGUGAGUGAAGAAGGCCUUCGGGUUGUAAAGCUCUUUCAGACGGAAAGAAAUCUCCCGGGUGAAUAUCCUGGGAGGAUGACGGUACCGUAAGAAGAAGCACCGGCUAACUACGUGCCAGCAGCCGCGGUAAUACGUAGGGUGCGAGCGUUAAUCGGAAUUACUGGGCGUAAAGCGUGCGCAGGCGGUUAUAUAAGACAGAUGUGAAAUCCCCGGGCUUAACCUGGGAACUGCGUUUGUGAC
RNAcentral lists this ribosomal RNA (630 nucleotides) under uncultured beta proteobacterium. RNAcentral describes it as "bacterial SSU rRNA". It matches the Rfam family "Bacterial small subunit ribosomal RNA", at positions 8 to 633 of the family's 1533-position model. The record is from RNAcentral. Lineage: Bacteria; Pseudomonadati; Pseudomonadota; Betaproteobacteria.